AGGGGGUUUGAUCAUGGGGCUCAGAAUGAACGUUGGCGGCGUGGAUUAGGCAUGCAAGUCGAGCGAAAAGCUCUCCUUCGGGAGAGUGGACAGCGGCAAACGGGGUAGUAAUGCGUAGGUGACGUACCCUUGGGACCGGGAUAGCCGUGGGAAACUGCGGGUAAUACCGGAUGAUCUCCUGAGUCGUGGUGGACUCGGGAGCAAAUGGUGUGAUUCCGCCCUUGGAGCGGCUUACGUGGUACUAGCUAGUUGGUGAGGUAACGGCUCACCAAGGCUCAGAUGCCUAGGGGGUGUGAGAGCAUGGCCCCCACCACUGGGACUGAGACACUGCCCAGACACCUACGGGUGGCUGCAGUCGAGAAUCUUCGGCAAUGGACGCAAGUCUGACCGAGCGACGCCGCGUGCGGGAUGAAGGCCCUUGGGUUGUAAACCGCUGUCAGAGGGGAUGAAAUGCAUGAAGGCUAUCCUUCAUGUUUGACAAAGCCUCAGAGGAAGCACGGGUCUAAGUACGUGCC
Molecule: ribosomal RNA, 515 nt
Filed under: uncultured Planctomycetota bacterium
Lineage: Bacteria; Pseudomonadati; Planctomycetota
Description: bacterial SSU rRNA
Rfam family: Bacterial small subunit ribosomal RNA
Source: RNAcentral